UUGACUUCCUCCCAUGAAUCAUGAAUUUUCUUAAAGGCAUCAAGAAUGGGGAAUCCUUUCCAGAAGAUUUUCAAUUUGCUGUGCCCAGAUCCAACAGAAGAAUCACUAUCUAUGACAGCUAUAGCCUUACAAGAUGUAUUUCUUAAAUAAUAAUGCUUUAAAGUCAAAGUAACUCCUUGAACCAUGGACUGCAGAAUGAAUGUUGUGUUAGCAGGCAUGAAAACAAUAUUAAUCUCUUUGAACAUCUCCAUCGAACCUCUUGGGUGACCAGGUGCAUUGCCAAUAAGCAGUAAUAUUUUGAGAGGAAUCUUCAUUUCUGGGCAUCGAGUCCCAAUAGUGGGCUUAAAAUACUCAGCAAACCAUGCUAACCUGUUGUCUGCCAUGACCAGGAGCUCCAUUCUCACACCUCUCUUUCUGGCCUCGCUCAUCUCAGCCCAUGAUCUCUUUUACUUCUUGGGGAGAUGAAACCUUAAAGAAAGCCAUGCUGAUUAUCUAUUUCCCUUUUCUCCAGAAUGUAAGCCCACUGAAAAAUAGACACAAGGCAACAUAAAACAGAUUAAGACCGAAGUCCAGCCAGAAUGAAGGUCUUGAGGUAGGAAAGAACAUGGCCAAGUUCACACAACUGGAAGAAAGUCAGUGAGGCUGGAGCAAACAAAGGAAGCAGAGAGUUACAAGACAGACAGUUGUCUCCUGGCCUGUUAAAUGUGUCCAUGACUACACAGAAAUUCCUGCCUAUUGCCUGCUUUCCUGAUGGAGAAGUUCAUGAUCUGCAAUAAUCAUCAGUGAACUGCAGCCUUUAUGCCAA
RNAcentral lists this long non-coding RNA (805 nucleotides) under Homo sapiens (human). Its description in RNAcentral is "HSALNT0385074". The record is from RNAcentral. Lineage: Eukaryota; Metazoa; Chordata; Mammalia; Primates; Hominidae.